This 376-nucleotide ribosomal RNA is filed under the name uncultured organism. RNAcentral describes it as "partial 16S ribosomal RNA". It matches the Rfam family "Bacterial small subunit ribosomal RNA", at positions 527 to 897 of the family's 1533-position model. The record is from RNAcentral.
GGAAGGUGCAAGCGUUAAUCGGAAUUACUGGGGCGUAAAGCGCGCGUAGGCGGCUAGAUAAGUCGGGUGUGAAAGCCCUGGGGCUCAACCUGGGGAACUGCAUUCGAUACUGUCUAGCUAGAGUGUGGUAGAGGGAGGCGGAAUUCCGCAUGUAGCGGUGAAAUGCGUAGAGAUGCGGAGGAACACCAAUGGCGAAGGCAGCCUCCUGGACCAACACUGACGCUGAGGCGCGAAAGCGUGGGGAGCAAACAGGAUUAGAUACCCUGGUAGUCCACGCCGUAAACGAUGUCAACUAGCCGUUGGGAGCAUUUUGGCUCUUGGUGGCGUAGCUAACGCGAUAAGUUGACCGCCUGGGGAGUACGGUCGCAAAGAUUAA